AUGGCUUCCCACCCGUCGCCGCCGCCGCCGCCGCCGCCGGAACACCCCAUACCACCCGCUCCCACCACCAUAAGUGACCUCGACGACGACCUGCUCCGGGAGAUCUUCCUCCGCCUCCCUAACCUCCCCAGCCUCCGUCGCCGCUUCCAGGCGCUCCAAGCACGCCCGCUCCUCCCUCACUUCCUCGCACACACAAUAGCUCCCUUCCCCGCCUCAGGCCGCCCCUCCGCCGGAUUCAGCCCCCUCCAAGACGACGACACUGCCGACUGGCGGAUCGAUUUCUCCGAUCCGUCGGUUUUCUACAAUGGCGGCUGCAUCGCCAUCAAGCACCAGAGCGCCAAGCAGAGAGUUUGGUACAACCCUCAAACGAUGGCCCUGUUUCUCCGCCCCAAGGAGCAUCAUGACAUGCCCGAUGGCACCACCCUUGGGUUCCACACAUUCUCCUCCGAAGAGGAUCAGAGGCCGUCCCGUGUGGUAUGUGUCCGUCAGGACUACUCAUGGGCUUGGCUACGCAUCGCUGUAUUCUCAUCGGACACCAUGGAGUGGCAGAUUUUUCCAGAGAUUGCGACGCUGCUACCUGAGGGCUUCAGGCGCACAGCCUGCACCGUGCUGGAUUGGUUUAUCUGUUGGCAAUGCGAGUCCAUGAGCGGGGUACAAGCCAGCGAGUACAUUUUCGUGCUCAAAACAGAUACAGUUCAGUUCUCUCGAAUGGAUCUGCCGCCGCCCUUGAGAGUGGCACACCAAAAAUUUAAGAUUGGUCAGACCGCUGAUGGGAAGCUCUGUAUUGUGAAUGAGAAUGAAUGCAUGUUUAGUAUUUGGAUCUUGACAGCCGGCGAUGACGGCAUCGAGAGAUUUGUGCUGCACAAGAUGUUCCCGUUGCAAGCUAGCUUUAUGGAGGUCACCGGCUGUUCAGUGGAAGAUACAAUCUCAGUGCGGCUUAUGACGGUUUUCAACGGUUUUGUGUACUUUGCACUUCGCCCAUGGAGGAAUUAUGUGGAUCAGUUCAAAUCCCCUGAGUGGUUCAUGUCCAUGUCUCUGGAAACAGCGGAGCUGAAGCAGCAUCUGAAGAAUAGAAAGCGGCCUGUCUUCCCUGUCCAUCCCUACUCGGCCUGGCCUCCUUCUAUGGAAUACAUCUCGGAGGAUUCAAAAUCUGAGGUUACUGGAAAAAGUGUUGAUGAUGUCGGUCUUGAGAGUACAGAAAAGGAUUCAUCUGUCCUUAUAAAAGCAUUAAGAUCAUAUAAAGAAGCGUUGAUUAAGGAUGGUGACGCAAAUGUUGCAGAGAUAGAGGCCUUCUCACUUUGUCUUGACGCUGAGGAUGAGAAGAAUUCUCUUGUGAGGAAAAUCAUUGCUUUAGAUGAACUGUUAAUAACUGUGAGAGAUCGUGUCUUGAGGGCGGGUGCAGACUCUGAAUUCGCAGACUGUCAAUUCUACAGACAGAAGAUCAAAACAGAGAGCUGGUGGCAAGUGUGCAAGGCGAAGUUAUGGAGAGCUUUCUGCGCUAGCUGA
Molecule: ribosomal RNA, 1506 nt
Filed under: Triticum aestivum (bread wheat)
Lineage: Eukaryota; Viridiplantae; Streptophyta; Magnoliopsida; Poales; Poaceae
Description: partial small subunit ribosomal RNA
Source: RNAcentral